AACGAACGCUGGCGGCAGGCUUAACACAUGCAAGUCGAACGGUUGUAGCAAUACAGCAGUGGCAGACGGGUGAGUAACACGUGGGAACCUUCCUAGGGGUACGGAACAACUCAGGGAAACUUGAGCUAAUACCGUAUACGUCCGUGAGGAGAAAGAUUUAUCGCCCUUAGACGGGCCCGCGUCGAAUUAGCUAGUUGGCGGGGUAAAAGCCCACCAAGGCGACGACGGGUAGCAGGCGUGAGAGCGUGACCUGCCUCACUGGGACUGAGGCACUGCCCAGACACCUACGGGUGGCUGCAGUCAUGAAUAUUCCACAAUGGACGAAAGUCUGAUGGAGCGACGCCGCGUGCAGGAAGACGCCCUUCGGGGUGUAAACUGCUUUUAUAAGGGACGAAUUCGUGACGGUACCUUAUGAAUAAGUGGUUGCUAACUCUGUG
RNAcentral lists this ribosomal RNA (437 nucleotides) under uncultured bacterium. RNAcentral's name for it is "bacterial SSU rRNA". It matches the Rfam family "Bacterial small subunit ribosomal RNA", at positions 29 to 507 of the family's 1533-position model. The record is from RNAcentral.